UACACAUUACAGAGAGCCCACCUAAACGAAGUUAAUGAAAUUAGAGAUUUAGGAGUUAUAGUAGACAGUCGUUUAAGCUUUAUAACUAAUAAUAAUAAUAA
Molecule: long non-coding RNA, 101 nt
Organism: Melitaea cinxia (Glanville fritillary)
Lineage: Eukaryota; Metazoa; Arthropoda; Insecta; Lepidoptera; Nymphalidae
Exons: 3
Source: RefSeq, a predicted model, not a curated record